AGUUCAAGUAUAUUGGUAGAAGAGAAUACAGGACUUCCAGAACAUAUUAUCCCUAUACAAAUUUCUGUACUGCAGGUAGGUGGAUUGCUGGUGGAGAUGGAGCUGAAAAUGCUACCUAAGUUAUAUUCUGUUUUGGUGAGAUGCAGAAAUGGCUCUUUGUUGCAGUUCUGUUCUUCCGCUUUCAUAUGAUGUGGCUACUGACGUGGUGUUGAUGCUGACAGCCUGACAUUGUCCUGAUACGUAGCUUUAUG
Lolium rigidum is the source of this 251-nucleotide long non-coding RNA. RefSeq lists it as uncharacterized. The transcript is spliced from 3 exons. Lineage: Eukaryota; Viridiplantae; Streptophyta; Magnoliopsida; Poales; Poaceae. The record is from RefSeq and is a predicted model, not a curated record.